Molecule: ribosomal RNA, 393 nt
Filed under: uncultured bacterium
Lineage: Bacteria
Description: partial 16S ribosomal RNA
Rfam family: Bacterial small subunit ribosomal RNA
Source: RNAcentral
AUACGGAAGGUCCGGGCGUUAUCCGGAUUUAUUGGGUUUAAAGGGAGCGCAGGCGGAGAUGCAAGCGUGACGUCAAAUUUCGGGGCUCAACCCCGUCUCGCGUCGCGAACUGCGUCCCUUGGUUGCGGGAAGGGGAGGCGGAACUCGUGGUGUAGCGGUGAAAUGCAUAGAUAUCACGAAGAACUCCGAUCGCGAAGGCAGCCUUCCGGCCCGUCAACGACGCUCAUGCUCGAAGGUGCGGGUAUCAAACAGGAUUAGAUACCCUGGUAGUCCGCACAGUAAACGAUGGACACCCGCGGUUUGGCCUGUAUGGCUGAGCCGCCAAGCGAAAGCGUUAAGUGUCCCACCUGGGGAGUACGCGGGCAACGGUGAAACUCAAAUGAAUUGACGGGG